CGAGCAGCGAGAUAGUGCCAUCAGCUCAAUGCUCUGCAAGUGCUUGGGAAGGCGUGGGGGCGGGACCCACGCGGCAGCACCAGCAUCCACCGCCUUCCCCGAGCUGCAAGACUUUGCAAAAACAUUGGGCGUCUGAUUUGGCCGGCGUUUUGGCGCGGACGGAGGAGGCCCGAGGCCGCCAGGGGAAGCUGGGCCCGCGCGCGGCGGCUCGCGGUGGCCUCCCUUUGUGUGCGCCGGGUGUUGAUUGCCUCCUCGCUCGGGGCGCUCUGCACCUGCUGGCGGCGGUAGCCCACAGCCCCGGCCCGCGGAGGCGCGGUGCGCGGUGCGCGGCGGCGGCGGCGGAGGACGGGAGUCAUUUACAUUGCGCGCACGUGGGAGCCGUUGGCUGCUCCCUCGGACUUGUCCCGCGUUGUGCUCUCCCAGGGAGGAAGCAGGAGGCACUUUGCAGCCGACAAUGAAAUCUUGGCAGCUAAUUGCAGUCGUGGGAGAUGCCCUUCAGAGGAGCCGCUGUCCAACGCUAGCGCAGGAAGGUGGCGGCGUGUGCGCCUCGGGGCUGCCCAUCAGAGCAGGGACUCGCAGCGGAUGGAAUCCGGGAAAGCCGACGCGGCGAUGGAGGGAGGCCGCUGCGUUUGCAGCGAGUGAGUGGGACACGGACAUCAAAGCAGACUGCGUGGAAAUAGAGGACAGAAAGGUAAGUCAGUACUGCUCACCCUUUGCUGUCGCACAAGACCAGAACUCUGCGAUUUCAUGCCGAGUGUCCCAGGCCUGCUUCCUGCCUUGCGCCUCCCUGGAUGGUGGCUUGCGGUGACUCCUGUGCUCACAUGGGACCCUGGGACAGUCUUGCUGCCCAGGGCUCCCCAUUUCCCCCUGUGUGCUUUCUCGUGUCCUUAGUGAAGAGUGCACAAGGUAAUCCGGUGUCUAGAGAAGCCAAUGCUGGUUUCUCGUUUCCGUCGUAUCCUCCUCCUCAUUGAUCUGUUAACUCACGUCACUGUUUCGUUGAGGGUUGCUGCCGACGGUGGUU
RNAcentral lists this long non-coding RNA (1021 nucleotides) under Ictidomys tridecemlineatus (thirteen-lined ground squirrel). Its description in RNAcentral is "lncRNA (ENSSTOG00000033255.1)". Lineage: Eukaryota; Metazoa; Chordata; Mammalia; Rodentia; Sciuridae. The record is from RNAcentral.